GUAAGUUACUAAGGGCACACGGUGAAUGCCUAGGCUCUCAGAGGCGAAGAAGGACGUAAUAGGCUGCGAUAAGCUACGAGUAGGUGCCUAUAACCGUUUAGUCGUAGAUUUCCGAAUGGGGCAACCUAUUCAAUUUAUUGAAUGAUAUAAUCGCAAACCUGCUGAACUGAAACAUCUAAGUAAGCAGAGGAAGAGAAAAUAAUAAUGAUUUCCUGAGUAGCGGCGAGCGAAAAGGAAAGAGCCCAAACCUAUGUAGUUUAGGCUAUGUAGGGGUUGUAGGACCGUAAUGAUGAUAUGUUUGGUGAGUGGAACUAAUUGGAAAGUUAGACCAUAGGGGGUGAUAGUCCCGUACACGAAGCUAGAUAUAUUUGACACGGUAUCCUGAGUACCGCGGGGCAAGAGGAACCCUGUGGGAAUCUGCCGGGACCAUCCGGUAAGGCUAAAUACUCCUGAGAGACCGAUAGUGAACUAGUACCGUGAGGGAAAGGUGAAAAGUAUCUCGAAUAGAGAGGUGAAAAGAACCUGAAACCGUGUGCUUACAAGCGGUCGGAGCCAAUUUAUUUGGUGACGGCGUGCCUUUUGCAUAAUGAGCCUACGAGUUGCUCUUCACUAGCAAGAUUAAGUGCUUCAGGCACGAAGUCGUAGCGAAAGCGAGUCUGAAUAGGGCGUUAAGUUAGUGGAGGCAGACGCGAAACCUUGUGAUCUACCCAUGAUCAGGUUGAAGCUCUGGUAACACAGAGUGGAGGACCGAACCAGUUGACGUUGAAAAGUCUUUGGAUGAAUUGUGGGUAGGGGUGAAAGGCUAAUCAAACUAGGAGAUAGCUCGUACUCCCCGAAAUGCUUUUAGGAGCAGCCUUCGGAUAUAGUGUUAUAGAGGUAGAGCUACGGAUUGGGUAAGGGGGCUUCACCGCCUACCGAACUCAGACAAACUCCGAAUACUAUAACAUGUUUACCGGGAGUGAGGGCAUGGGUGCUAAGGUCCUUGUCCGAGAGGGAAACAACCCAGACCAUCAGUUAAGGUCCCUAAAUCUAUUCUAAGUUGAGCUAACGAGGUUCAAUUGCAUUGACAGCUAGGAUGUUGGCUUGGAAGCAGCCAUUCAUUUAAAGAGUGCGUAACAGCUCACUAGUCGAGCGAUUGAGCAUGGAUAAUGAACGGGCAUAAGAAUAGUACCGAAACUAUGGAUUGCAGUUUACUGCAGUGGUAGGGGAGCAUUCUAACAUCAGUGAAGAUGUAUCGUAAGGUAUGUUGGAGAGGUUAGAAAAGAAAAUGUAGGCAUAAGUAACGAUAAAGCAGGCGAGAAACCUGCUGGCCGUAAGACUAAGGUUUCCUGAUCAACGCUAAUCGGAUCAGGGUUAGUCGGGACCUAAGGCGAACCGAUUUAGGGUAGCCGAUGGACAACAGGUUAAUAUUCCUGUACCAAGUAGAGAGGACGGAGAUGGCGAGAUGUUGCGUACUGACGGAAUAGUACGUUGAAGGGAGGCGUGAGCCCCUGAUAGUACCACGAGUUUUCGGAUGAGUGGAUAAUGCAUCAACCGAUCUUCCAAGAAAAGCCUCUACACUAAAGCCCGUACCGCAAACCGACACAGGUAGUCGAGGAGAGUAUCCUAAGGCCCUCGAGUGAGUCGUGGUUAAGGAACUAGGCAAAUUAACCCUGUAACUUCGGGAUAAGGGGAGCCACCUUCGGGUGGCCGCAGAGAAAUGGCCCAGGCGACUGUUUAUCAAAAACACAGGGCUUUGCAAAAACGAAAGUUGAAGUAUAAGGCCUGACACCUGCCCGGUGCUGGAAGGUUAAGGAAGGGGGUCAUCUUCGGAGAAGCUCUUAACUGAAGCCCCAGUAAACGGCGGCCGUAACUAUAACGGUCCUAAGGUAGCGAAAUUCCUUGUCGGGUAAGUUCCGACCUGCACGAAUGGUGUAACGAUCUGGGCACUGUCUCAACCAUGAGCUCGGUGAAAUUGUAGUAUCGGUGAAGAUGCCGAUUACCCGCAGUGGGACGAAAAGACCCCGUGAACCUUUACUAUAGCUUAGUAUUGGCUUUGGAUAAGUAAUGUGUAGGAUAGGUGGGAGACUUUGAAGUGGCGUCGCUAGGCGUUGUGGAGUCAUUGUUGAAAUACCACCCUUUGCUUAUCUAGAGUCUAACCCACAAUGUGGGGACAGUGCUUGGUGGGUAGUUUGACUGGGGUGGUCGCCUCCAAAAGAGUAAC
RNAcentral lists this ribosomal RNA (2203 nucleotides) under marine metagenome. RNAcentral's name for it is "bacterial LSU rRNA". It matches the Rfam family "Bacterial large subunit ribosomal RNA", at positions 1 to 2301 of the family's 2925-position model. The record is from RNAcentral.